GACGAACGCUGGCGGCGUGCUUAACGCAUGCAAGUCGAACGGAAAGGCCCUGCUUUUGUGGGGUGCUCGAGUGGCGAACGGGUGAGUAACACGUGAGUAACCUGCCCUUGACUUUGGGAUAACUUCAGGAAACUGGGGCUAAUACCGGAUAGGAGCUCCUGCUGCAUGGUGGGGGUUGGAAAGUUUCGGCGGUUGGGGAUGGACUCGCGGCUUAUCAGCUUGUUGGUGGGGUAGUGGCUUACCAAGGCUUUGACGGGUAGCCGGCCUGAGAGGGUGACCGGCCACAUUGGGACUGAGAUACGGCCCAGACUCCUACGGGAGGCAGCAGUGGGGAAUAUUGCACAAUGGGCGGAAGCCUGAUGCAGCAACGCCGCGUGCGGGAUGACGGCCUUCGGGUUGUAAACCGCUUUCGCCUGUGACGAAGCGUGAGUGACGGUAAUGGGUAAAGAAGCACCGGCUAACUACGUGCCAGCAGCCGCGGUGAUACGUAGGGUGCGAGCGUUGUCCGGAUUUAUUGGGCGUAAAGGGCUCGUAGGUGGUUGAUCGCGUCGGAAGUGUAAUCUUGGGGCUUAACCCUGAGCGUGCCUUCGAUACGGGUUGACUUGAGGAAGGUAGGGGAGAAUGGAAUUCCUGGUGGAGCGGUGGAAUGCGCAGAUAUCAGGAGGAACACCAGUGGCGAAGGCGGUUCUCUGGGCCUUUCCUGACGCUGAGGAGCGAAAGCGUGGGGAGCGAACAGGCUUAGAUACCCUGGUAGUCCACGCUGUAAACGGUGGGUACUAGGUGUGGGGUCCAUUCCACGGGUUCCGUGCCGUAGCUAACGCUUUAAGUACCCCGCCUGGGGAGUACGGCCGCAAGGCUAAAACUCAAAGGAAUUGACGGGGCCCCGCACAAGCGGCGGAGCAUGCGGAUUAAUUCGAUGCAACGCGUAGAACCUUACCUGGGUUUGACAUGGAUCGGGAGUGCUCAGAGAUGGGUGUGCCUCUUUUGGGGUCGGUUCACAGGUGGUGCAUGGCUGUCGUCAGCUCGUGUCGUGAGAUGUUGGGUUAAGUCCCGCAACGAGCGCAACCCUUGUUCACUGUUGCCAGCACGUUAUGGUGGGGACUCAGUGGAGACCGCCGGGGUCAACUCGGAGGAAGGUGGGGAUGACGUCAAGUCAUCAUGCCCCUUAUGUCCAGGGCUUCACGCAUGCUACAAUGGCUGGUACAGAGAGUGGCGAGCCUGUGAGGGUGAGCGAAUCUCGGAAAGCCGGUCUCAGUUCGGAUUGGGGUCUGCAACUCGACCUCAUGAAGUCGGAGUCGCUAGUAAUCGCAGAUCAGCAACGCUGCGGUGAAUACGUUCCCGGGGCU
RNAcentral lists this ribosomal RNA (1346 nucleotides) under uncultured bacterium. Its description in RNAcentral is "partial 16S ribosomal RNA". It matches the Rfam family "Bacterial small subunit ribosomal RNA", at positions 28 to 1381 of the family's 1533-position model. The record is from RNAcentral.